RNAcentral lists this unclassified non-coding RNA (1433 nucleotides) under Portunus trituberculatus (swimming crab). RNAcentral describes it as "uncharacterized LOC123505501, transcript variant X3". Lineage: Eukaryota; Metazoa; Arthropoda; Malacostraca; Decapoda; Portunidae. The record is from RNAcentral.
CUAUGGUAUGUAUAAGACUCCAUUUAAGUGUUCGUUAUGAUUUUACUUUUCUACGUUUCUAUAUGGCUUAUUAAAGAAAGAGAGAAAGAUUGAUUGAUUCAAAUGUUACUACGUUUCCUGUUUGAAAUCAUCACGGAGAUAUGUACGGGUGUUCCAGUGAAGCAUUGAAGCAGGUGAAGCAGUCGUUCGGAGGGAAGAAUGCGUGUGGAGGGCGGUGAUUGGUUGACUGGAGGAGAUGACAAAGAAAGACCCGCAAGACCAUUAAUUACUUUACGGAUGCCGGAUGAAAUAUGGAUUGCUGUGCUGGGUGUCCUUCUAUCGCAGUGUCAGUUUACUUUCAUCCUAGCGAGGAGCAGGAUUACGGCACCAGUUUCUCCGUCGGUGUAAGGUAUUUUCAGUAUGCUUCGAUUUUUUUUCUUCUAAAUUUGUGAAGAGUAUGGCUGGCCCGUGUCACUUGAUGUUCCUCCGUGUUUUUGUUCCCACGUCUCCCUUUUCGGGUUGUGGUGUCUUACGAAGUGCACGUUUGGAGCUUGGGACGACAAAGCUGUGAAGCAUUGAAGCAGGUGAAGCAGUCCUUCGGAGGGAAGAAUGCGUGUGGAGGGCGGUGAUUGGUUGACUGCAAUGCAGGUGAAGCAGUCCUUCGGAGGGAAGAAUGCGUGUGGAGGGCGGUGAUUGGUUGACUGGAGGAGAUGACAAAGAAAGACCCGCAAGACCAUUAAUUACUUUACGGAUGCCGGAUGAAGUAUGGAUUGCUGUGCUGGGUGUGUCCUUCAAUCGCAGUGUCAGUUUACUUUCAUCCUAGCGAGGAGCAGGAUUACGGCACCAGUUUCUCCGUCGGUGUAAGAUGCAUCGUUUUUUUUCUUCCAAAUUUGUGAUGAGUAUGACUGGCCCGUGUCACUUGAUGUUCCUCCGUGUUUUUGUUCCCACGUCUUCCUUUUCGGGUUGUGUCUUACGAAGUGCACGUUUGGAGCUUGGGACGACAAAGCUGUACGGGUGUUCCAGUGAAACAUUGAAGCAGGUGAAGUAGUCGUUCGGAGGGAAGAAUGCGUUUGGAGGGCGGUGAUUGGUUGACUGGAGGAUAUGAGGAAGGUGAUUGGGUGGUAGGGAGAUGAGGAGCCAAUGUCUAAAGGUGUGGAAAUAGAGCUGGUCAAUCUGCUUGCUAUCUCGCGAGGAGCAGGAUUGCGGCACUAAUUUCGUCUUUUUGACCCGCAAGACCAUUACUUUCCGGAUGCAGUAUGGAUUGCUGUGCUGGGUGCGUCCUUCAAUCGCAGUGUCAAUCUACUUACAGCCUCGCGAGGAGCAGGAUUACGGCACAAAUGCAUCGUUUUUUUUUUUUUUAUUUGUGGAAAGUAUGGCUGGCCCGUGUCAUUAGAUGUUCAUCCGUGUUCUUGUUCCCACGUCUUCCUUUUCGGCAUGUGGUGUCUUACGAAGUG